AUGGCGAUUUUUGGCUGUUUUUAUAGCGAUUUUUGGCUGUUUUUAUCUGCAGCGCACCAGUCCCUGCAUGGGCCACGCCCACUCCGCCAUGGCCACGCCUCUUUGUCCACGCCCAUCAAUCGUGGUCAUGCCCCUGGGGAAUCCCUCCGCGGCCCCCGCCGUGACGUUGCGCGGUUGCGUCACUUCCGGCGGGCCACCCAGAAGUGGUGUGGGCCCGGUAGCCAUGGGGCGGCCCGGGAGGUGAAAUGGGAAGAGAGAGGGGGGGAGACACCAGGAUGGGGACCGGGAAUGGGAUCGGGGCCGGGAAUGGGAUCGCCGGGCAGCCGCGGGGUCUGGGGGGAGCCGGGCCGGGCCCUGCGGGAUGGUGGCGGCCGUGGGGACGGCCGGGGGGCCUGGAACUCGUGUCCCUGCCCCGUCUUUGCCUCAUUUCGAUCUCUCAUCCCGGUCCCUCGUCUCGAUCCCUCAUCCUGUUCAUUCAUCCUGAUCCCGUUGUUCCCGGUCCCUCUAUCGCGAUCCCUGAUCUCGUUGUUCCCGGUUCCGCCCUGGCACCGGCUCCGCUCCCUCGGGCUCCUCCGGCGGGAUCUUCCCUCCGGCCGGGCCGGGAAGGAGGGACAGCUCCGGGCUGUGUCCCUGAGGCGGAAUUCCAGCUUUUCCUUAUUUCUUUUGGGAUUUUGCUGGCGUUUGAUCGUGGCAGGGGUCCCAGAAUCCCGGGAUGCUUUGGGUGGGAAGGAGCUUAAAUCCCAUCCGCUUCCAACUCCAGCGCCUCCCCUGUCCCGGGCUGCUCCAGCCCGGCCUCGGGCACUUUCAGAGAUCCGGGAGCGGCCACGACUUCCCUGGGAAUUCCCCCCAGCCCCUCUCCACCCUGCACGAGGUGAUUCCGUGCUUCCACCGCCUCGCUAUUCCUGUUUUCCCUUGUAUUCCGGCACGCCCGGGGAGCCUAGGAGCAGCCCCUCACCUCGGUCAGGUGCUGAGGGAAGGGAAGGAUCCCAUCCCGGCUGUUCCCCUGGGGAUCUCCCACUGCAGGGAAUC
Molecule: long non-coding RNA, 1029 nt
Filed under: Parus major (Great Tit)
Lineage: Eukaryota; Metazoa; Chordata; Aves; Passeriformes; Paridae
Description: lncRNA (ENSPMJG00000017739.1)
Source: RNAcentral